Molecule: ribosomal RNA, 440 nt
Filed under: uncultured bacterium
Lineage: Bacteria
Description: partial 16S ribosomal RNA
Rfam family: Bacterial small subunit ribosomal RNA
Source: RNAcentral
CCUACGUGCGGCAGCAGUGGGGGAUAUUGCACAAUGGGGGAAACCCUGAUGCAGCGACGCCGCGUGGGUGAAGAAGCGCUUCGGCGCGUAAAGCCCUGUCAGCAGGGAAGAAAAUGACGGUUCCUGAACAACAAGCCCCGGCUAACUACGUUCCAGCCGCCGCGGUAAUACGUAGGGGGCAAGCGUUAUCCGGAUUUACGGGGUGUAACGGGGGCGCAGACGGCGAUGCAAGCCAGGAGUGAAAGCCCGGGGCCCAACCCCGGGACUGCUCUUGGAACUGCGUGGCUAGAGUGCAGGAGGGGCAGGCGGAAUUCCUGGUGUAGCGGUGAAAUGCGUAGAUAUCAGGAGGAACACCGGUGGCGAAGGCGGCCUGCUGGACUGCAACUGACGUUGAGGCCCGAAAGCGUGGGGAGCAAACAGGAUUAGAUACCCGAGUAGUC